Molecule: long non-coding RNA, 87 nt
Organism: Sinocyclocheilus grahami
Lineage: Eukaryota; Metazoa; Chordata; Actinopteri; Cypriniformes; Cyprinidae
Exons: 3
Source: RefSeq, a predicted model, not a curated record
ACGGGGCAUCAGGAAUGCAAACAGACGCCUGAGUGAGUGAGUGUGUGAAGCACGUGUGUGUGUGUGUGUGUGUGUGUGUGUGUGCAG